UCCUACGGGAGGCAGCAGUGGGGAAUAUUGGACAAUGGGCGCAGCCUGAUCCAGACAUACCGCGUGGGUGAAGAAGGCCUUCGGGUUGUAAAGCCCUUUUGUCAGGAAAGAAAUCCUGUCGAUUAAUACUCGGCGGGGAUGACGGUACCUGAAGAAUAAGCACCGGCUAACUUCGUGCCAGCAGCCGCGGUAAUACGAAGGGUGCAAGCGUUACUCGGAAUUACUGGGCGUAAAGCGUGUGUAGGUGGUUGUUUAAGUCUGUCGUGAAAGCCCUGGGCUCAACCUGGGAAUUGCGAUGGAUAUUGGGCGACUAGAGUGCGGUAGAGGAUAGUGGAAUUUCCGGUGUAGCAGUGAAAUGCGUAGAGAUCGGAAGGAACAUCUGUGGCGAAGGCGACUAUCUGGGCCAACACUGACACUGAGACACGAAAGCGUGGGGAGCAAACAGGAUUAGAUACCCUGGUAGUCCACGCCCUAAACGAUGCGAACUGGAUGUUGGGUUCAACUUGGAACCCAGUAUCGAAGCUAACGCGUUAAGUUCGCCGCCUGGGGAGUACGGUCGCAAGACUGAAACUCAAAUGAAUUGACGGA
RNAcentral lists this ribosomal RNA (588 nucleotides) under uncultured bacterium. RNAcentral describes it as "bacterial SSU rRNA". It matches the Rfam family "Bacterial small subunit ribosomal RNA", at positions 337 to 917 of the family's 1533-position model. The record is from RNAcentral.